Cucurbita moschata (crookneck pumpkin) is the source of this 274-nucleotide long non-coding RNA. RefSeq lists it as uncharacterized. The transcript has 2 exons. NCBI's taxonomy places the organism in Eukaryota, Viridiplantae, Streptophyta, Magnoliopsida, Cucurbitales, Cucurbitaceae. The record is from RefSeq and is a predicted model, not a curated record.
AUGUUCGGCUGGUUGGAAUCGGGUGCCUUUGGGCGUGCGACAUGAGACUAGUUGGGCAUGGAAUGUCGCCUUCUAACUUGUGCUGCCUUCGGGAUGGUGGAUGGUCGGAGCGACGACAAAGCGUGCAAGGUGGGGUGGAGUUGGGUGCCUUCGGGCGUCCAACAUGAGCCUCGUCGAGCGUGCGGCGUUGUGGUGACGCCGUCGGGCCAUCCUUGGGGCAGCCCUAUGUUUUGAAGGUCGCGUGUGGUGCCAGGACAUGUUCGGCUGGUUGGAA